This 897-nucleotide ribosomal RNA is filed under the name Rhizopus microsporus. RNAcentral describes it as "eukaryotic LSU rRNA". The stretch from base 233 to 897 matches the Rfam family "Eukaryotic large subunit ribosomal RNA", at positions 1 to 633 of the family's 3401-position model. The record is from RNAcentral. Lineage: Eukaryota; Fungi; Mucoromycota; Mucoromycetes; Mucorales; Rhizopodaceae.
AUAGAGUACGCUUGGUUCAGUAUCAUAACCAACCCACACAUAAAAUUUAUUUUAUGUGGUGAUGGACAAUUUCGGUAAAAUUUAAUUAUUAUACCGAUUGUCUAAAAUACAGCCUCUUUGUAAUUUUCAUUAAAUUACGAACUACCUAGCCAUCGUGCUUUUUUGGUCCAACCAAAAAACAUUUAAUCUGGGGGUUCUGCCAACCAAGCAGAUAUUUAAUGCUCUUUAACUAUGAUCUGAAGUCAAGUGGGACUACCCGCUGAACUUAAGCAUAUCAAUAAGCGGAGGAAAAGAAAAUAACAAUGAUUUCCCUAGUAACGGCGAGUGAACAGGAAAAAGCUCAAAGUUGGAACCUGUUUGGCCUAGCUAAACCGGAUUGUAAACUGUAGAAGUGUUUUCCAGGCAAGCCGGACCGAUAAGUCCUUUGGAACAGGGCAUCAUAGAGGGUGAGAAUCCCGUCUUCGGUCUGAGCAUUUGCCUUUUGCGAUACACUUUCAAAGAGUCAGGUUGUUUGGGAAUGCAGCCUAAAUUGGGUGGUAAAUCUCACCUAAAGCUAAAUAUUGGCGAGAAACCGAUAGCGAACAAGUACCGUGAGGGAAAGAUGAAAAGAACUUUGAAAAGAGAGUUAAACAGUAUGUGAAAUUGUUAAAAGGGAACCGUUUGGAGCCAGACUGGCUUGUCUGUAAUCAGUCUAAGUUUCGGCUUGGAUGCACUUGCAGGCUAUGCCUGCCAACGACAAUUUGGCUUGAGGGAAAAAACUAGGGGAAAUGUGGCCCAUUCGUGGGUGUUAUAGUCCCUUAGAAAAUACCUUGGGCUGGAUUGAGGUACGCAGCGAAUGCUAUUUGGCGAGUUGGCUGGGAAUAUUUUCUGAGGUGCUCCGGUACUGAGGUUGAUAUU